UACAGAGGGUGCAAGCGUUGCUCGGAAUCAUUGGGCGUAAAGGGUGCGUAGGCGGCGCGGUAAGUCGGGUGUGAAAUCUCGGAGCUUAACUCCGAAACUGCAUUCGAUACUGCCGUGCUUGAGGACUGGAGAGGAGACUGGAAUUUACGGUGUAGCGGUGAAAUGCGUAGAUAUCGUAAGGAAGACCAGUGGCGAAGGCGGGUCUCUGGACAGUUCCUGACGCUGAGGCACGAAGGUCAGGGGAGCAAACGGG
RNAcentral lists this ribosomal RNA (253 nucleotides) under uncultured bacterium. RNAcentral describes it as "partial 16S ribosomal RNA". It matches the Rfam family "Bacterial small subunit ribosomal RNA", at positions 524 to 776 of the family's 1533-position model. The record is from RNAcentral.